This 280-nucleotide unclassified non-coding RNA is filed under the name Ascomycota sp. Its description in RNAcentral is "partial contains small subunit ribosomal RNA, internal transcribed spacer 1, and 5.8S ribosomal RNA". The stretch from base 1 to 47 matches the Rfam family "Eukaryotic small subunit ribosomal RNA", at positions 1785 to 1831 of the family's 1831-position model. The record is from RNAcentral. Lineage: Eukaryota; Fungi; Ascomycota.
AAAGUCGUAACAAGGUUUCCGUAGGUGAACCUGCGGAAGGAUCAUUAAAAGUAAAAUAUGUAUUCUCACGAAUAUACAUUUUGUAAACCCCAUCUGUGUACCUUACCUGUUGCUUCCGCUGGGCAGUGAUCUCGGUCACCUCCGCAAGGGCGGCUUUCAGCCGUCGGCGCGGGGAGUCCUCGCGGGUGGAUCUACAUCAAACUCUUGCAUUCCUAUGUCAUCUGUCUGAACCUGUUUAUAACAAAUGUUAAAACUUUCAACAACGGAUCUCUUGGUUCUC